GACGAACGCUGGCGGCGUGCUUAACACAUGCAAGUCGAACGGAAAGGCCCCUUUGUUGUUACUCGCGUGGGGGCCGGGCGGGUGAGAAUCACGUGAGCUGCCUUUGCCUUAGGGCGGGAUUCCGGAAACUGGGGCUAAUUCCUACCGGGCAUGCUUGCUUCAUGCAUGGGGUUGGAAAGCUUGUGUCGGCGGUGUUGGACUGACGGGCGGUCUAUCAGCUUGUUGGUGGGGUAGUGGCGUACCAUGGCUUUGACGGGUAGCCGGCCUGAGAGGGCGACCGGCCACAUUGGGACUGAGAUACGGCCCAGACUCCUACGGGAGGCAGCAGUGGGGAAUAUUGCACAAUGGGCGGAAGCCUGAUGCAGCAACGCCGCGUGCGGGAUGACGGCCUUCGGGUUGUAAACCGCUUUCGGCUGGGACGAAGCUUGAGUGACGGUAACUGCAGAAGAAGCACCGGCUAACUACGUG
This 468-nucleotide ribosomal RNA is filed under the name uncultured bacterium. RNAcentral describes it as "partial 16S ribosomal RNA". It matches the Rfam family "Bacterial small subunit ribosomal RNA", at positions 28 to 507 of the family's 1533-position model. The record is from RNAcentral.